Molecule: long non-coding RNA, 437 nt
Organism: Drosophila teissieri
Lineage: Eukaryota; Metazoa; Arthropoda; Insecta; Diptera; Drosophilidae
Exons: 3
Source: RefSeq, a predicted model, not a curated record
GGAAAAUGGGAGUGCUUGGGAAAUGGACAGUGGAAAAUGGAAAGUGGGUGCUGGUGCUGGUGCUCUAUCUCUGACUGGCUGCACACAAGUGGUCGCAUUUAUGUGGACAAUAUGUUUGCCUUGACCUUGCCAGGACGUGCCCAGCUGCACACACACGCACGCACACACACACACGCACACACACACACGCACGCAGACAAUCCUACAUGCACGCUGCCAAUGACAGUUGUCAACAUGACAGUUAUAAGGACACUGAUACAAAUGUUACGGAUGUUUGUCUUGGCCGGACAAGGAAUGUUGUUUAUAGCAUGGCUUUUGGAGCUGUUUUAGGCAGUACUGUCAGAAGUUGGUGAGUCCGUUUUAGUUGCGAAAAUCCCAUCCAAUGUCCGGCAAUCAAUGCCUGGGACCAAUGUAGAUCCCGCCGAGACUAUCGCCGC